This 573-nucleotide long non-coding RNA is filed under the name Cyanistes caeruleus (blue tit). RNAcentral describes it as "lncRNA (ENSCCEG00000009693.1)". Lineage: Eukaryota; Metazoa; Chordata; Aves; Passeriformes; Paridae. The record is from RNAcentral.
CUGACACAUGCUGUAAUAUUUAAGGUAGAGGUUUCUUUAAAAGAAGCUACUACUGUGCAUUUUCAGAAGGAGUUUUACCUACAGCAUUGGAUCCUCAAAAGUGGAGUUCUCAAGAGUACUGUAGAAGAGGAGGAAAGUGUGAGUGAUGGCCAACAAUGAAGAGCUACUGAGUAACAUGGAGGAUACUUUUUCAUAAUCAUUGUACUGAAUUCCAACACCUACACACAGGAUUCUAAAUCAUGGCUGCCCAUGGAGAAAAGUUCAGCUUUUCACUUUAUUCAGAUUGUCUCCAUUGAACCAAAAGGAUGGCAGUGUGCUACACAUUGUGUUUCCAUGCUCACUUCCAGGUAAUUUCAGUGCUUUUGGAGUCAUAUUGCCAGCCAUGCCUACCAUAAUGCACUGUAUUGUACCAAAAGAUCUUCAUAUUCCUAUGUCAAUUUAUGUUUUUAUUUCUAGCCAAAUAUAUACAGAGAUAUCAGAAUAUUCUGUUAACAUUGUUCGUUUUCCAAAAAAUCCAGUAUACAACAUACAUUAAUUCUGGUAUAUCCACUUUCCUGCUUUACAACAUCUUCA